This is a long non-coding RNA of Populus euphratica (Euphrates poplar), 963 nucleotides long. RefSeq lists it as uncharacterized. The record is from RefSeq and is a predicted model, not a curated record. Lineage: Eukaryota; Viridiplantae; Streptophyta; Magnoliopsida; Malpighiales; Salicaceae. The transcript has 3 exons.
GCAAAUCAGCAGCCAAAAAUGGAGGAGCCACAAAACGGCAACGCCAGUCGAGAACGACGAGUAUGCAAUGAUUGGACCUGGUCCAGCGCCGAAGGCCCGAGCCAAGCGUCCUCUUCAGUUCGAGCAAGCUGACCUUAAUUUGUAAAAAUGGCCUGCUUUGUUGCACAAUUUCAAAUGAUCGGUCCGUGAAAAUACAUGAUGUUGUCAAUUAUGACAUGAUGGUCAUGAUCUGCCUUCCGUACGUUCAUGGCACUGCUGAGUUGGUCUACAAACAAGGGGAUGUCAAAGCUGCAACAUCAACAGCUCACCAUUUUCAUAACAUGGGGUUUUAACUCCUGGAUUCUUUCUUAUUCCAUGAUGAAGACCUCAACUUUCUUUGUUUCCUUUUCUAUUCCAUUUCUCCAGAUACAUUUGGAGCCAGUUAAAGUUAUGAAGUUACAACCCUGUACUUGACACAGUGAUAUAUGCUGAUGCAAAGGGGAUUAUUGAAUACUGGGGGUCCCACCAUACUUCAGUUCCAUUGGUAUUUGGGCUUCAUAACUGAGGGUCACACAGUGAUAUCUGCUGAUGCAAAGUUGUGAUGAUAACUGUAAAUGUUACACCAUUGUUCACCAGGUGAGCCCAGAUGGUAAGCAGUUUUCCAUUACACCACCUGAUCGAAGGAGACCCGAAUAUUGGUUUAGGACGGGAGGCUCAAGAUCUCCAGAGAAGUGAUGCUCCCUUGUACCGGUUAGAGGCUAUUGAUUUUGGGUGAAGAAUGGCUGUUGAGAAAGAAAAUGAGAAGACAGAAACUGCACCUCCACUGAAUGCCAUCUUUGACAAAAACUCAAACUUUCUUAUAUAUGCAACCCUCCUUGGAAUAAAACCGGAGAGAACCAGAGGAACCUGGGGACUCGACUAAAGGGAGGGGUGUGUUCAAUGAAAAACCUCAACCCGAUGAACUUUUAGCCGUAUCAGAUUCAG